UUGGUCUCAAACUCCUGGUCUCAAGCGAUUCUCCCGCCGAAGCCACAGGAGGAGCUAGUAUUUACAGGCGCGCACAACCGAGCCCAGAAUCGUACGGGGGCACGAUUUUUAAAUUUUUUUGUUUUGAAAUACAGGGUCUCGCUCUGUCGCCCAGGCUGGAGUGCAGUGGCUGGAGUGCAGUGGCGUUAUCAUAGUUCACUAUAACCCACAUCCUGCAUCGUCCUGAGGCACACUUCUUAAGGGAAAAACAUAGAGGUCCCAAUCGGCCCUGGCUCUUUUUUAUUUGACAUUUAUCAGUAGGGAGCAAAAGGUCAGAAUGAUAGUUCUAGACAAAGAGUAGGAAAUGAGAAGCAGGAGGAGGAGGAUGGGUAACAGAAGUGGGUGAGGAUGGAGGGAAGACGGGAGCUAACCCAAGUCCCCAGCGCCUGCCCAGCACAGUGAACACUGGCACUUCUGCAGAGGGCUUGCAACCUAAGGCGCCAGAGCCCAGCAUAGCUUAGCAGACAUUGCAUGCUCCACAGUCGCGUCUAGCGCCAAAGGAAGGGCCACUUGCAGUGUAAGCCUUCUGGGAUGCACUAAACACCAGGCAGGGUUCUAUGUGUACUCUGACGUGGAGUACCUGGAGCUUUUGCAAGGGGCGUGUUAGGUUUCUUGCAACUUGCACCUGAGCAUCCAGAGUGCUCUGCAAAUCCCAGCCCCAAACUUCUGCUUCCACAGAUCUCCUGGAGAGCGUGGCGCACUCAACUUUCUGGACAUUGCUGCAAAAACCUAGCAUGCAGCCUCUGACUUCAUCAUUUCAUCUUAAUUACGGUCCGAUUCGCGGACUUUGGGUGGGAACAGACCAGAGCUAGAGAGACUCAUCCAUUAGUUACUAACUACCCAGAGGGGAGAGCAGUGCUGGCAGUCCAAAUUGCAAGGUGCGCUGCCUUCAGCGUGCGGCGUCUUCGCCCUGGAGAAGCAUUACGCUGGCCCGCCUGCCUCCAGGGCCACACGGAAACGUGUUCUGCAAACUUUCUCCAAGGGCUCGGGGGCUAGAUUGUGUCUCGCUCCGCUGCCUCUCCCCCUGCCUCAAUUUCGACUCCUGCCAGACAGCUCAGCCCCUCCCUCUGGCAGUCACCCCGCCCGGAGUGGGAGUGGUCAACGAAGCUGCAAAAUGGAUCGCAAGUCCCCACACACGUCCGACCCCUCCCCGCGCCCUGACCACGAACGCAUCCCUGACUUAACCGCCACACUCGGGCCGUGAGCGCCUGCCAGCAGGGCCUUCCGCCACACACACACACACACACACCGCAAGCAGCGGCGACCAGGGCAGGAGCCCACUCCCCGCCACCUGCAGGCGUCGGACCCGAAGUCCACGAGCCGGAACUCAGAGCAGGAGCCGAAGGACCCCAGCGCAGAAUCCGUGGAGGCGCACGGCUUCAUCCACCGCGCUCCCAGAUGGGGUCCCAGCCCAGAUCCGGCCACGAAGACACAGGCAACCCCGGCCUGGGUUUCCUGUUCCAUGAGCUCCAGGAAGGCGACAGUCAGUGCUUGUCUGGGGACCCGGACCGAUGCGAAGGCUGUAGGGACUUUGGUGACUGAAGCUGGAGGAGACGAGGAGAAGAAAAUACGGUCCAAACCCGAGCAGGGAGCUGGAGCAGAAGAAGAAAGUCACUUCUGUGCGGGAGCUGCCGACCCCACGAUCAAGGAUAACCAGAAGCGCGGCGGUGGCGACCAGGAGCCCUCGCAGCAGCAGCCUGAGGCUUCCAGCCCAGGACUCCUCCGCGGAGGAGCCACAACCCCAAUAUUAGCGGCGUCUCUUCAGCCCCAGUGCGUUCAGCAGGUUGCACCUGAAGGAGCUAGACAGCAUUUUCCCACGCUCUGAAUAUCUCGACGUGUUCGCUCGAAAGCAGCUUGCAAUCUGCAUGGAUGUGAGUGAAGCCGAAGUGGAAGCCAGUAAGCCUGAUGAAAGCAAUUGGUCAGAGUAGCCACUCUCUGAAACCUGCCUCAGUCCUUGAAUACCUUUGUCCUACACAUUCUCCAAUUGGCCUGUUUUUGUUGCCUUUUCUAUGUUUGCCAAGUGAGUUUUGAACUUUAGCGGGGGAAUAAUGGGAUACAUAAACCUUAGCCUAUGGAAAUUUCCCAUUACCAGAGGGAAUAUGCUUUCUAAUGCGAAACAGAACUAAACUGUUACUUCUAUUUCCUGUACAAGGUUAAGUGUAAAUAAAGUUCCAUUCCUUCUAACAAUGGUAUCCUUUAGAGAACACUUCUGUGUGGAGUUAUGUUGGGACUGAGUCUGACUUGAGGAGUUUGCAAAUUAAUGCACCAAGGACCCAUAUUGUGAGAAGGUUCAACUGUAUUUAAAAUAUUUAAACCAGGCUAUGUUCUUAGCUAAAUGACCAAAUUUAUAAAUAUUCAGGCAUUGGGAUAAGGGAAUAAGUUACAUACAGAAAGAACACAUUAUAUGAGUAAUUAAUGUAUGUUUAGUUUCACUGAGACUUAUGGGGAGGACAUAGCUUAAAAGUCCAAGUGCCUGGUAGUCCUGCUGUUGUUUUUAAGGGUCUGAUGAAGCCAUGUAGAAAGUGGCAGCCCGCAAUUUUGAUUUUCUCCAAUACUUUUAUUUGUAAGCCGGAAUACACUGCUAAUAUACUUGCAUUACACUGGGGGUGUGGGGGGGCAGGUUUGCAAACAGGAAAUUUGUUUAAAAAUUGGAAUAAAAAAGAACAAUUUUGAAAAAGUUUUCACUUAACUAAGAAGGGUGAAAAGGUUAAAGAAAAAUUGCAUACACUCAAAUAUAUACCUUGAAGGUAUGGCACAAAUGGAGCUCUAUGAGGGAAUAUUCUCUUUAGGAAUUUCUGACAACUAAGAAGUUUUUUUUAUGUUACUGUUUUAAACUGGUGGGUUUUAUGUAAUUUGUUUGGUGGUGGGGUGGGGCACGCUCAAUUUAGACCAGGUUCUUACCUGUGCUAAUUUGAAAUGGUUUUUCAUUUUCCCAGGCAGUGGUGAUUAAUUUGUAAGUCAUGAGAUCAAGAAAUUACUAAGAUUCCUUCAGUAUUAUUGACUGAGUAUAUUUUCAAAACAAAGAGAAAAUCCAGGAUUAGGUUAUGAGCAGUGCUGUGCAGUUCAUGUGAGUGCAGUGAUGGGCCCCCCAUGACUAAGCCUUUUUUUUCAGACCAUCUUUUUCACUCUCAAGAGUUUUCAGAGGAUGAAGUCUGGCCCAGUGGCUCACGCCUGUAAUCCCAGCAAUUUGGGAGGCCAAGGCAGGCAGAUCACGC
This 3254-nucleotide long non-coding RNA is filed under the name Homo sapiens (human). RNAcentral describes it as "HSALNT0408583". Lineage: Eukaryota; Metazoa; Chordata; Mammalia; Primates; Hominidae. The record is from RNAcentral.